Molecule: ribosomal RNA, 279 nt
Filed under: Tetraselmis sp. GSL018
Lineage: Eukaryota; Viridiplantae; Chlorophyta; Chlorodendrophyceae; Chlorodendrales; Chlorodendraceae
Description: partial Eukaryotic large subunit ribosomal RNA
Rfam family: Eukaryotic large subunit ribosomal RNA
Source: RNAcentral
GUUGAGCUUGACUCUAGUCCGACGUUGUGAAAUGACUUAUGAGGUGUAGGAUAGGCGGGAGGCUUGCGCCGACGGUGAAAUACCGCCACUCGUAAUGUUGUUUUACUUAUUCCAUGAAGUAGUGUCUGUGCGCCCUCGCGGGCUCACAGUUCUGGCCCAAGGCCAGGUGUACUCCUGGCUGAGCUACGUGGGAGACAACGUCAGGUGGGGAGUUUGGCUGGGGGGGCACAUCUGAAAAGAUAACGCAGGUGUCCUAAGUUGAGCUCAAUGAGAACGGAA